RNAcentral lists this long non-coding RNA (1007 nucleotides) under Mustela putorius furo (domestic ferret). RNAcentral describes it as "lncRNA (ENSMPUG00000025345.1)". The record is from RNAcentral. Lineage: Eukaryota; Metazoa; Chordata; Mammalia; Carnivora; Mustelidae.
CUUAGCUACGAAAGGCGCGCUGGUGAAUGCUUCAGCAUUCUUGCUUGGCGCUUUGCAGAUGGAUCAUCUCAUCUGAGAAAGCAUUUAAACCCGAUGGUCCCAUUGGCCAAACUCACUGUCCUGCGGUGUAAAAGGUGCACCCCGAGUUUGGGGGGAACACGCAGGGGAGCUGCCUCCCCCAGCCUGCGGAAGCAGCCGACAGGAAGGAUUUCCUGCAGAAGGCAUCUCCUGGGCCAAGGGUCUCCUGUGGACUGAAAUCAGACUUGAUUGUUCCUAGAUGGAAAAUUCCAUGAGAAACCGAACCAGUUAACAAGUACACCAAACCAUGACUCGUGCUGAAAUGACUGCAGCUCCGGCUUGCUCGGACCCCCCGCUGAGGUGAGUAACUAAGAAAACUGACUUGAUCUGUCCUGUUGAUAGGACUAACACUGUUGCUUAUUUUGCAUACCACCGAUAAACUGUUGCUUAUUUUGCAUACCACCGAUAAUCAACAGACCAGAAGAUGGGGAUAAUGAAAGCCCUUCAGGCUGUAACAGUUCCUUUGGCCUCAGCCCUGGAAUCGCAUGAGGCCAGAGAAAGAGACUUUUGGAUAAAGAGUUUCUGCUUCUCCUCCAGGGGGCCUGAGUCAUUCCGAGGCUGGGGUCCACACUCGGGCCAGAAAGAGAGGAAGUGCUGCUGUGGGCAUGGAGAGAGGAGAAUGGGCACGAGCCUGAGACGAAUACAAAUAUCCGGUUUUCCUCAACAUUCACCAAGUAUCAGCCUCAGCACGCUCUCGGCCAGCCCGGAACCACAACAGAACACCCCACAGUCUCCCUGGCUUCCAGCAACAGAAUCCCAAAAGCUUAGCAGAACUGCCUGUUCUCAUCAUUCCUCUCCUCACAUUCAGGGCAUCAUUACUACCCUUUCCCUAGUUCAAUUUUAACAAAAUUAUAUAUCAGACACGGGCUGGGCACCAAGGAACACAUAAACGCUUCCUCCCCUCAAAGAUCAUUUUAUUGAGUAAAUAU